Non-coding RNA from Phrynosoma platyrhinos (Desert horned lizard), 72 nucleotides. NCBI's taxonomy places the organism in Eukaryota, Metazoa, Chordata, Lepidosauria, Squamata, Phrynosomatidae. The record is from the annotation of a GenBank genome assembly.
CACUCUGUGGCGUAGUGGUUUGAACGUUGGACUGCAACUCUGGAGAUCAGAGUUCGAAUCCCGGCUCGGGCA